Molecule: transfer RNA, 66 nt
Filed under: Lachesilla sp. LaspGHN
Lineage: Eukaryota; Metazoa; Arthropoda; Insecta; Psocodea; Lachesillidae
Description: tRNA-Met
Source: RNAcentral
UUAAAAGUAAGCUAAAUUUCAAGCUUUUGGGCUCAUACCUCAACUAUAGAUUAAUUCUCUUUUAAA